Canis lupus familiaris (dog) is the source of this 870-nucleotide long non-coding RNA. RefSeq lists it as uncharacterized. The transcript is spliced from 3 exons. The record is from RefSeq and is a predicted model, not a curated record. NCBI's taxonomy places the organism in Eukaryota, Metazoa, Chordata, Mammalia, Carnivora, Canidae.
UUAAAAGAAUAUGACUGCGGCCAGUGGAAGGGCUCCUCGGAGUGUUUUUCUGAUCUUUUUUUUAUAUAUAUAUUUUAUUUAUUCACUCAUAAGAGAGGGGCAGAGACACAGGCAGAGGGGGAAGCAGGCUCCACGCAGGGAGCCCGACGUGGGACUCGACCCGGGACCCCGGGGUCACGCCCUGGGCUGAAGGGGGCGCUAAGCCGCUGCGCCACCCGGGCUGCCCGCGUUUUUCUGGUCUUAAACCAAGACAGAAAGAUAAUGUCUGUUCUGGAGUGUUCUGGAGACAUUGGAGCAUGGGUUCUUCUACUGGCAUUUUAUCAAGAAAGCUCUCGAUGUUCAGAACACUGUGACAGGCAUUUGCAUCAUGUGUGAUACACAGCUCAGGUCACUGUUCAGUGAAAUUGGCCUUUGAAGGAAACCCUGCAAGUGCAUGGCAGAGCCAUAUACACUACAAUUUGGUGCCACUGCCACCACUGGUACCAGUGCCCCAGCAGUUUCCGCCAUCUUGACUCUGCUCCACCAGUGCAAAUAUCAGCACACUGAAAAUGCAGGUAAUGUCCAAGUCUUACAAUAAAAUAGUUUUGAACUUGUAGACUCUCUGAAAGGGUCUCAGGGACCUCCAGGGGUUCAUGGAUGGCACUUUGAGAAUCACAGGUAUAAGAAUGCACUAAAGGUGUUGCUGAGGAGAAAGGUAGGGUAUCUUUUUAAAGCGGUGAUUUCAGGAAUAGCUAGGAUGAUGGAAGGCAGUGUAAUCUGAUGGAAUUGGCUGCUAUUGUUUUUAAGCAGCAGAAAGCAUAUUAUAUUGCCCUAAAUUUUUUAAAACUUUUUGACUGUAACACACAAGAAGAUAUACCUUUACAUUGUAAC